Molecule: ribosomal RNA, 501 nt
Filed under: uncultured bacterium
Lineage: Bacteria
Description: partial 16S ribosomal RNA
Rfam family: Bacterial small subunit ribosomal RNA
Source: RNAcentral
AUUGAGCGCUGGCGGCAGGCUUAACACAUGCAAGUCGAGCGGGGGAAGGUAGCUUGCUACCGGACCUAGCGGCGGACGGGUGAGUAAUGCUUAGGAAUCUGCCUAUUAGUGGGGGACAACAUCUCGAAAGGGAUGCUAAUACCGCAUACGUCCUACGGGAGAAAGCAGGGGAUCUUCGGACCUUGCGCUAAUAGAUGAGCCUAAGUCGGAUUAGCUAGUUGGUGGGGUAAAGGCCUACCAAGGCGACGAUCUGUAGCGGGUCUGAGAGGAUGAUCCGCCUCACUGGGACUGAGACACGGCCCAGACUCCUACGGGAGGCAGCAGUGGGGAAUAUUGGACAAUGGGGGGAACCCUGAUCCAGCCAUGCCGCGUGUGUGAAGAAGGCCUUAUGGUUGUAAAGCACUUUAAGCGAGGAGGAGGCUCUUUUGGUUAAUACCCAAGAUGAGUGGACGUUACUCGCAGAAUAAGCACCGGCUAACUCUGUGCCAGCCGCCGCCGUAA